Molecule: long non-coding RNA, 625 nt
Filed under: Triticum aestivum (bread wheat)
Lineage: Eukaryota; Viridiplantae; Streptophyta; Magnoliopsida; Poales; Poaceae
Description: long non-coding RNA (TAES_LNC006822)
Source: RNAcentral
UUGGUAAGCUCAUGAUUCAUCUGGCUAAGCAGUCUUAGUAGACCGCCAAUGUUGUGUUAUUAAGAUGCAGGUUUCAAUAACCUUCAUGUUUGCGGCUAAAAUAAUGUAGUUAUCUCGGUAGUCUAGGUAGAUUGAAAUAAUUGUUUAUCCUUGAAGCAAAUCAACUAAACAACUGCCAGUAGAUGAUGAGGUGCCUUCUGCAAACAAAAAAGCUAAGCUCUAAGCGAGUAUUUUUAGGCGACCUAUCUUUUUCGGUGAUUUGUUUAAUCCUUCCUCUGCUCAAUUGAUGUGAAGCACAAACCUUGCUCUGCUAAAUUGAUGUGAACCACAAUCCUUGCUCUGCUCAAUUGAUCUUCCCAGCAAAUCAAUGAACAUGUGCCCACAGGGACACAGUCAAAGGUGCGCAUGUCAACUUAAUGGUUUUCAUCCAUAGUGCUUUGCCAUUAUUUUUAUUUUUAUUGUUUUUCUCAUUUGCCACUGUUGCCCAUUCUUUCUAGGACCAGUAUAUACAUCAUGAUUUUCUUUUUAUGACAUUGUUAUUUAUACUUGAAGCAAGGUAUCUGAAGACCUGAUGGGAAAUGAGGAGGUGCCCUUUGCAACUAAAAAGACUAAGUUGGAGACCAAG